RNAcentral lists this ribosomal RNA (323 nucleotides) under Limosilactobacillus reuteri. RNAcentral describes it as "bacterial SSU rRNA". It matches the Rfam family "Bacterial small subunit ribosomal RNA", at positions 133 to 449 of the family's 1533-position model. Lineage: Bacteria; Bacillati; Bacillota; Bacilli; Lactobacillales; Lactobacillaceae. The record is from RNAcentral.
GGAGCGGGGGAUAACAUUUGGAAACAGAUGCUAAUACCGCAUAACAACAAAAGCCACAUGGCUUUUGUUUGAAAGAUGGCUUUGGCUAUCACUCUGGGAUGGACCUGCGGUGCAUUAGCUAGUUGGUAAGGUAACGGCUUACCAAGGCGAUGAUGCAUAGCCGAGUUGAGAGACUGAUCGGCCACAAUGGAACUGAGACACGGUCCAUACUCCUACGGGAGGCAGCAGUAGGGAAUCUUCCACAAUGGGCGCAAGCCUGAUGGAGCAACACCGCGUGAGUGAAGAAGGGUUUCGGCUCGUAAAGCUCUGUUGUUGGAGAAGAA